Molecule: unclassified non-coding RNA, 211 nt
Filed under: fungal sp.
Lineage: Eukaryota; Fungi
Description: partial internal transcribed spacer region
Rfam family: Eukaryotic small subunit ribosomal RNA (bases 1-46)
Source: RNAcentral
AAGUCGUAACAAGGUUUCCGUAGGUGAACCUGCGGAAGGAUCAUUAACAAAUCUGGGCGGGUCUCUUUCGGGAGACUUUGCCACAUUGACUCGGGCGCCUCCCCCAUCUCUGGUGGGAAGAGGGGCCCUGAGACAUUCACGCUUGUUUUGUUUGACCGAGUCAUGGUGAAUAUGAAAAAGACAACUUUUAACAAUGGAUCUCUUGGCUCUU